This 73-nucleotide transfer RNA is filed under the name Pteropus alecto (black flying fox). It matches the Rfam family "tRNA". From Rfam's summary of the family: Transfer RNA (tRNA) molecules are approximately 80 nucleotides in length. Their secondary structure includes four short double-helical elements and three loops (D, anti-codon, and T loops). The record is from Rfam by way of RNAcentral. Lineage: Eukaryota; Metazoa; Chordata; Mammalia; Chiroptera; Pteropodidae.
GAUUCCAUAGUGUAGUGGUUAGCAUGUCUGCUUUACAUGCAGAAAGUCCUGGGUUCAUACCCCAAAGGAGCCA